UACGAAGGGGGCUAGCGUUGCUCGGAAUCACUGGGCGUAAAGCGCACGUAGGCGGAUUGCUAAGUCAGGGGUGAAAUCCUGGAGCUCAACUCCAGAACUGCCUUUGAUACUGGCGAUCUUGAGUCCGGGAGAGGUGAGUGGAACUGCGAGUGUAGAGGUGAAAUUCGUAGAUAUUCGCAAGAACACCAGUGGCGAAGGCGGCUCACUGGCCCGGUACUGACGCUGAGGUGCGAAAGCGUGGGGAGCAAACAGA
Molecule: ribosomal RNA, 253 nt
Filed under: uncultured bacterium
Lineage: Bacteria
Description: partial 16S ribosomal RNA
Rfam family: Bacterial small subunit ribosomal RNA
Source: RNAcentral